RNAcentral lists this long non-coding RNA (332 nucleotides) under Solanum tuberosum (potato). Its description in RNAcentral is "long non-coding RNA (STUB_LNC000017)". The record is from RNAcentral. Lineage: Eukaryota; Viridiplantae; Streptophyta; Magnoliopsida; Solanales; Solanaceae.
UGAUAAUUUUAAAUUUGAGCUCUAUAAUUUAGAAAAUGUGAUUUCUUUAAAGCAAUACGGAAUAUAGAAUAAAAAAAUACGUACUCAUGAUGGGUAGUAACUAUCUCCGCCAUCAAUUAACGAUCUCGAUUUUAGAAAUGAAUUUAUAUUCAGUUUUAAAUCGGAUACUGAAAAUAAAAAAUGAGGUCAAAAAACACCUACUUAAAUGACGCUUAUCAUUUUCUAAGAUCAUGACCGGUAGAAAUUAUUUGCAUCAUCAACUGUAUAUUUCGAGUUUAGAAUGAAUUUAGUUUCAAUCCUAAGACUGGUAUCAAAUAUAGGGUUACAACCCC